GAUGAACGCUAGCGGCAGGCCUAAUACAUGCAAGUCGAACGGUGUCUUCGGACAUAGUGGCGCACGGGUGCGUAACACGUAUGCAACCUACCUUACAUUGGGGGAUAGCCUUUCGAAAGGGAGAUUAAUACCGCAUAAGACAGUAGCUGGGCAUCCAGCAGCUGUUAAAGAUUUAUCGAUGUAAGCUGGGCAUGCGUCCAAUUAGCUAGUUGGUGAGGUAAUGGCUCACCAAGGCUAUGAUUGGUAGGGGAACUGAGAGGUCAAUCCCCCACACUGGCACUGAGAUACGGGCCAGACUCCUACGGGAGGCAGCAGUAGGGAAUAUUGGGCAAUGGACGCAAGUCUGACCCAGCCAAGUAGCGUGCAGGAUGACGGCCCUAUGGGUUGUAAACUGCUUUUAUAAGGGAUAAAGUGAGCCUCGUGAGGCUUUUUGCAUGUACCUUAUGAAUAAGGACCGGCGUAAUUCCGUG
Molecule: ribosomal RNA, 470 nt
Filed under: uncultured bacterium
Lineage: Bacteria
Description: bacterial SSU rRNA
Rfam family: Bacterial small subunit ribosomal RNA
Source: RNAcentral